This 600-nucleotide long non-coding RNA is filed under the name Setaria italica (foxtail millet). RNAcentral describes it as "long non-coding RNA (SITA_LNC005329)". The record is from RNAcentral. Lineage: Eukaryota; Viridiplantae; Streptophyta; Magnoliopsida; Poales; Poaceae.
UCUACUCCGUCUCUUUGGCCGUUUCAGUUUAGCGAUCAUGGAUCCACCUCCCGCCGCCGCCGCCUGGUCUCCCCAGGUGCCUCUGCUUCCACCAGCUCCCGAGCCGGUGCGCGAUGGUCGUCUCCGGCUAUGGUAAGUUCUCGUUCCACCACGCCUGAAUACGUUGCCUUCUCUGCAUUGUCGACAGGAGAUUGGGGGCAACAAAGCAAACCACAUUUCAGCAUGUUCACGUGCACACACAUGACACGAGGCCUCCUUUGGUCGUCCUCAAGGUUACACUUUGCUCAUCUGAUCGGUGGCGCGCGUGUGUUUCUUUGUUGCAGCCUGUGGUUCCUCAGCUGCUGCGGCCUGCUCACGUGUUGCUGCCCUCCGAUGUCUGAGCCAGUGCCGCCGCCCUUGUAGCUGUACAAGUUGAGCGGCAUAUAUCAUCUUCUUUCGUCUCGUGUGUGUUUUCGUUUCACCGUUGUGCACCUUUUUCUUAUCCCACCGUUGUGCACUUUUGUUCUACCUGUGAUGUUCGACAAGCUUCAGCAAAGUGGCCUCUGAAGGGUUUGCUCCAUGCCUAAUAAACCCACUAUCAAAAUGCAUGGUCAUCUUCAA